Long non-coding RNA from Armigeres subalbatus, 608 nucleotides. RefSeq lists it as uncharacterized. The record is from RefSeq and is a predicted model, not a curated record. The transcript is spliced from 2 exons. NCBI's taxonomy places the organism in Eukaryota, Metazoa, Arthropoda, Insecta, Diptera, Culicidae.
AUACGGGUUCUGAAUUAUCGUCCAUCCUUUUAUCAUAUGAUGCCAAAAUGUCAGAAAUUCAUCCGGAAAACAAGCGCUAAAUGUUUCAAGCUUGCCCCACAACGCAAAUCAUUUGAUGAUGAACUGAAUAUUCCACGAUAUGUUUUCCAAUGGAACUGGUAGUAAUCGAUUACGACGCCAUUUGUCAUAAACGUUUGCGAAUUGCAACUGGGAGAUGGAAGAAUUUCGUUGGUGGCAAAGACAUUUGAAAUAUCGGAUAUCUAUACGUUCUGCAUAAUUAUCGGCCUGAAAAAUACGACGACCAGAUGCUCCCGCAAAUCUAACAAGAUUUGGAUUUCAUCCCGAUUAUGCUGAUGGCGGCCUUCAAAAUUAUAAGCUGUAGGUGUGUUGCCGAGAAAUGUAUCCGGUUGUUCGCAGAAAGAAAAAUGUAUCCGAGGAACGCAGUCGGCAGGAACACCAACCAAAUGCAGGAACUACAACCGGUGCAAACGAUGGAUUUUUUUACCCCCCUUUAGUGGCAUUGACGAGCUCGGUAACGAGAGCAGCAAUUGUACAACAAACCCUAUUGAUUGUGAUAGAUACAAAUAAACAACAUGUGUGUUAUAAAU